AUGCCACGUGGUGCUCCUCCAGCUCCAACACGCACCGGCGUAUCCACUGCCACAGGCUGUGGUUCAUGCUGCAGCAGCCAGCUCGCUAUGCAGCAGCUGCACCACAGUUGGCCCCUCGCUCACCCGUUGGUUAGUGCACGCAUUGCUCCCAUUGUUUUCUUCAUCUUCAGCCGCCAUUGUUUGGUAACCAUUGUUGUGUUUGUGGAAGUUAUUGUUCUCCGAGCUGGUUCUUGGUGGCACCGGCAAUCCCAUCGGAAACGGUGGUGUCGUGGCAGGAGCUUCUCUGUUUCGAUGGCGACCACGGCGUGGAGUUUGCUGGACACAGCCUCGCACGCUGGUUCGACAGCGGAGGCGCGGGCGUUGAGGCGGAAUCAAUCCACAAAGAUUGGCCGUGCAUUGUGA
RNAcentral lists this ribosomal RNA (402 nucleotides) under Triticum aestivum (bread wheat). Its description in RNAcentral is "partial small subunit ribosomal RNA". The record is from RNAcentral. Lineage: Eukaryota; Viridiplantae; Streptophyta; Magnoliopsida; Poales; Poaceae.